RNAcentral lists this transfer RNA (76 nucleotides) under Nocardioides sp. RNAcentral's name for it is "tRNA-Arg". It matches the Rfam family "tRNA". From Rfam's summary of the family: Transfer RNA (tRNA) molecules are approximately 80 nucleotides in length. Their secondary structure includes four short double-helical elements and three loops (D, anti-codon, and T loops). Lineage: Bacteria; Bacillati; Actinomycetota; Actinomycetes; Propionibacteriales; Nocardioidaceae. The record is from RNAcentral. RNAcentral also lists the same sequence under 32 other names.
GCCCCAGUAGCUCAGCGGAUAGAGCAGCCGCCUCCUAAGCGAAAGGUCGCAGGUUCGACUCCUGCCUGGGGCACCA